Molecule: non-coding RNA, 830 nt
Filed under: Menetes berdmorei (Indochinese ground squirrel)
Lineage: Eukaryota; Metazoa; Chordata; Mammalia; Rodentia; Sciuridae
Source: RNAcentral
GUCUUUUUAUUGGCUUUUAGUAAACUUACACAUGCAAGUAUCCUCAGACCGGUGAAAAUGCCCUCAAUAUCACAAAUAUACAAUGAUCAAGAGGAGCAGGUAUCAAGUACACUAACAUUAGUUGCUCACAACACCUUGCUUAACCACACCCCCACGGGUUACAGCAGUGAUUAAGAUUAAGCACAUGAACGAAAGUUCGACUAAGUUAUACUAUAUUAGGGUUGGUAAAUUUCGUGCCAGCCACCGCGGUCAUACGAUUAACCCAAGUCAAUAAAACACGGCGUAAAGCGUGAUUAAAAAAUUAACCUAAUAAGACUAAGCUUAGACUAAGCUGUAAAAAGCCCUAGUCAUAAUAAAAAUCACUAAAACGAAAGCAGCCUUAGAAAAUUUGAAUUCACGAUAGCUAAGACCCAAACUGGGAUUAGAUACCCCACUAUGCUUAGCCCUAAACUCAAACAUUCAACUAACAAGAAUGUUCGCCAGAGUACUACCAGCCACAGCUAAAAACUCAAAGGACUUGGCGGUGCUUUACAUCCCUCUAGAGGAGCCUGUUCUAUAAUCGAUAAACCCCGUUAUACCUUACCACCUUUAGCAUAAUAUCAGCCUAUAUACCGCCAUCUUCAGCAAACCUUAUUAAAGCCUUACAGUAAGCAUAAUUAUAAUAUAUAAAAACGUUAGGUCAAGGUGUAGCCCAUAAGGUGGGAAGAAAUGGGCUACAUUUUCUAAUUACUAGAACAUUACCACGAUAACUUUUAUGAAAUUAAAAGCCUAAGGCGGAUUUAGUAGUAAGUCAAGAAUAGAGAGCUUGACUGAAUUGGGCAAUAAAGCAC